UAGCGGCCUAUCGCAAUGGGAGAAUAGCUAAAAUAACUAAAAAUCUAAGUAAAUACACUGCGUUUAAAUUUUCAGAGUCCGUUUUGUGUGCCGCCUUGAAUCUUGAAUCGCAGCCGCAUUUCUAGAACAUUUGUGUGAGGAAAUAAAACUAAAAAAGAAUAGUCUCCACAAAAAGCGUUGAGACACGAACACGCAUCACAGUUCAAAAAUCAGAAAGCGGCUUUUGUCAGGCUCAAGACAGCGACUCCUUUGAGCCUUUGCUGAUCAACCUGGAGGAUGUGAACUCGGACUUGGCCUUUUUUCUCAGCAAGAACGAUGAGCCCGGCCACCGCUCCAAUUACAACCAUUACGUGUUGCCGCAGCCCAUCUGGAUUGUGGAUAAGAUUCGCUUUGUCUCCAGAGAAUCCAGAGCAGCAUCAUGUGCCGACUAUCACGGUCUUAAUAAGCUGAUCUGAUCAUCUUUGCCAUCGUUUUAAUCAUUUUGUUCUCAUCGGCGAUGCUGAAGCGGUCUAGACGCGUGGCUUAUGCAUGCUGCUGACCUUGUAUUGAUUCACCAGAUCCAACAAUGCAUUAUCCAUGUCCUUAGCUAUGUUUAUAAAUACAUAAAUAAAAAUAUAUAAAUAUGUAAA
Molecule: small RNA, 629 nt
Filed under: Drosophila pseudoobscura pseudoobscura
Lineage: Eukaryota; Metazoa; Arthropoda; Insecta; Diptera; Drosophilidae
Description: GA32445
Source: RNAcentral